AAAAAAAUAAGAUUAAUUAACAAAAAUGUAACUCAAAGUUCAUUAUUUCAAAUUAUGCACAUUUAUUUAUUAAAAGUUUUGAUACCCAACCAUUAGUGACAGACAGAAUGAGGAUUUUGGUUCGAUGGGAACUAUAAUAGUAAAAAAUGAUAAAUUUAAAAUGGUUAUAACAUAACACAUAUCUAAAGGGGCCGAAUUAUAAGAUACACGUAAAAUUAGCUAGAUUCCAAAUUAUACCCCUAUAUUUCCUUCUCUUUUUUUUUUUUUUUUUUUUUUUUUUUUUAAGCCCAUGUAGAAAGGUGCUCAACCUAUAUCAUUUAGACACUACUCAUGAUUUUCAUAUUAAAGUCAAUAAAGAAAAGAGAAAUGGGACCAUUCUUCUAAUUCUAGCCGCUUCCCAACAAACAAAAAUUCAUAUUAAAGUCAAUAAACAAAAAGGAUGAUGAAUAGUGACAGUAGGUGAAGAGAGUUCGUCGGUCCAAAUCUUGACAAAGACUUGAGUUAGGUGAGAAGUAUUUUGGUCCAUUAAUUUUUCUUUAUUUGUAAUUUUAUUCGGCUUUUUGUUAGGUUCUUCUUUGGGUCACUCUCUCUUAGCUUAGGUGGGAUUACUUUAUAUUUGCUUCUUUUAAGUAACUAGUCAAAGUUGGUGAAACUGCUUCACCACAAGAAGAUAUCAUUAUUUUUAUUUUAUUUUAUUUUUUAAAUUAUUGCAUCAGUACUGGGUCAGCAUGAUGUUUUUACCAUUUUUUUUUUGUUAUAUUUACUAGAAAUUAUUAUAGACUUUUUAGUACAAAAAUGAGUAAUAUAGUAGUGAGGUCAGUAGGUAAAUUUACUUGGAUAUAAGUUAUAUUAAAUGGAUAUUAGGAGACAAUUAUUUCCUUAACUUGGUUCCAUGAUCAAUUAAUUUUAUAUGCUUUUUUGUUUUAAAAGAAUAAUACUUCAUGCAAUUCCUCUAUAAAAGGUUAAAAAUUUGAAAAAAAAAAAAAUUAACCUUGUCACUUGAAAGUAUAUUCUUGUUUUAAAGAGUUUUUGUGGAAUUAACCUUGUCACUUGAAAGUAUAUUCUUCUUCAUGCAAUUCCUCUAUAAAAGGUUAAAAAUUUGAAAAAAAAAAAAAUUAACCUUGUCACUUGAAAGUAUAUUCUUGUUUUAAAGAGUUUUUGUGGAGUUUUUGAACGUGUCUACAAUACAGCUGUUAUCAAAUAAAAUUUCAAAUUUUCUAUCAAACCCUCAAGUUUUUCAUCAUCGGCUUCAAAGACUUCGCAUCUUAUAUAUACUAGGUUAGAGUCAAAAAAGAAAAAAAUUUAUAAGAAAAUAUAAUGUAGGACUUAAGUUUUCACAAGAGAUUUGACGUUUAUAGUCAUUUUCAUUUUUUUAAAUUUAUUAUAGAAUAAUGAAAGAGACUUUAAUAUAAAAACAAAUUAAAAAAUGAGGUGGUAGUUUUAAGAUUGGCAUUUGAUUUAUCCGUUAAUAAAAAUAUGCUUGCAUGUUUCAUUUGUUUCACGUUCAACACAUAAUUUAAGCUAUUUUUGUUUUUCUUUCCUUUUCAUGAUUGUCUGGUAGGAAAGACGACUUACACUUCAACUAUAUGGGCCAUAGCCAUUAAGAUGUUAGUGGAGUGAAUUGACAGUAUUCUUGUUAUUGACGGCAGAAACUUUGAUUAGGAUGAUAUGUGCUAACUACUCAUUUCAUGCACGUCUCUAGAUUUGUCAAUUUAUCAUGCCAUCACUUCCAAAAUUCUAAAUAAUUACGUAAAUAUUUUAUGCCAUAUACAUCUAAUAGAGUUCUUAUGAUUUUUAUUGUCAAAUGUAUCCAAUCAUUAAUCACAAGAGACGUGUCUCACAGAAUAAACCUUGUGGAAGUUCAUGUUGAUAGCAAAUGAAACUUAAUUGAAGGCAAACUAUUGUAACUCAGGUGUCAUGGAAAAUAAAUUAUAUAUUAUAAGGUUACCUACUUCAAAUAAUUUAUUAUUGAAAAUUACAUGUGACAAAGCCUUCUACCUAACCAAAAUGAAUCAUACGAUUGGGGCUGGACAGCAAAUUUGGUUUUGAGUUGCACAAUUCAAUAAUCACGUCUAAGUUAGAGCUCCCAAGAAAAGUUAGGUCACCUCUUCUUUUAUAAUAAUUUUCAUUAACUUGAUUCUAGUGAUAUAAAACAGAUGAAAUCAUACGUAAUUUCAUCAUCCUUUUCAGAAUCUUCUCAAAUCUUAAUGUGAAUGGUAUUCAAAUCUCAAAUUUGUUUAUACUAUCUAAAAAGAAUUACUCAUAUCCAAAGUUUUUUUAAUAAUUAAGAUAAAGUUGUACUUUAGGCAUAUAACAGCUAAUGGUAUAGAGUUCAAUAUAAUAAUAUUAUAUCUUAAAUUUU
RNAcentral lists this long non-coding RNA (2362 nucleotides) under Citrus sinensis (sweet orange). RNAcentral describes it as "long non-coding RNA (CSIN_LNC004731)". Lineage: Eukaryota; Viridiplantae; Streptophyta; Magnoliopsida; Sapindales; Rutaceae. The record is from RNAcentral.